Non-coding RNA from Vigna umbellata (rice bean), 161 nucleotides. The record is from RefSeq and is a predicted model, not a curated record. NCBI's taxonomy places the organism in Eukaryota, Viridiplantae, Streptophyta, Magnoliopsida, Fabales, Fabaceae.
AUACUUACCUGGAUGGGGUCUAUGGGUGAUCAUAAAGGCCCAUGGCCUAAGUUGGUAACCUCCAUUGCACACAGGAGGGGUGCCCGCUUAAGGUCUCCCUAAAUGGGAGAGCCUACAUCGUAAUUUGUGUUAGAGGGGGCCUGCGUCCGCGCGGCCCCUAU